CCUACGGGUGGCAGCAGUCGAGAAUCAUUCACAAUGGGGGAAACCCUGAUGGUGCGACGCCGCGUGGGGGAAUGAAGGUCUUCGGAUUGUAAACCCCUGUCAUGUGGGAGCAAAUUAAAAAGAUAGUACCACAAGAGGAAGAGACGGCUAACUCUGUGCCAGCAGCCGCGGUAAUACAGAGGUCUCAAGCGUUGUUCGGAAUCACUGGGCGUAAAGCGUGCGUAGGCUGUUUCGUAAGUCGUGUGUGAAAGGCGCGGGCUCAACCCGCGGACGGCACAUGAUACUGCGAGACUAGAGUAAGGGAGGGGGAACCGGAAGUCUCGGUGUAGCAGUGAAAUGCGUAGAUAUCGAGAGGAACACUCGUGGCGAAGGCGGGUUCCUGGACAUUAACGGACGCUGAGGCACGAAGGCCAGGGGAGCGAAAGGGAUUAGAUACCCGAGUAGUC
RNAcentral lists this ribosomal RNA (446 nucleotides) under uncultured bacterium. RNAcentral's name for it is "partial 16S ribosomal RNA". It matches the Rfam family "Bacterial small subunit ribosomal RNA", at positions 338 to 795 of the family's 1533-position model. The record is from RNAcentral.